GUGCCCGCUUCAGCAGCACAUAGGCUAGAAUUGGAAUGAUACAGAGAAGACGAGCACGGCCCCUGAGCGAGGAUGACAUGCAAAUUCUUGAAGCGUUCCAUAUUUCU
Molecule: small nuclear RNA, 107 nt
Organism: Pteronotus mesoamericanus
Lineage: Eukaryota; Metazoa; Chordata; Mammalia; Chiroptera; Mormoopidae
Source: RefSeq, a predicted model, not a curated record